UACGUAGGGUGCGAGCGUUAAUCGGAAUUACUGGGCGUAAAGCGUGCGCAGGCGGUUGGGUAAGACAGGCGUGAAAUCCCCGGGCUUAACCUGGGAAUGGCGCUAGUGACUGCCCGGCUAGAGUGUGACAGAGGGGGGUGGAAUUCCACGUGUAGCAGUGAAAUGCGUAGAGAUGUGGAGGAACACCGAUGGCGAAGGCAGCCCCCUGGGUUAACACUGACGCUCAGGCACGAAAGCGUGGGGAGCAAACAGG
Molecule: ribosomal RNA, 253 nt
Filed under: uncultured bacterium
Lineage: Bacteria
Description: partial 16S ribosomal RNA
Rfam family: Bacterial small subunit ribosomal RNA
Source: RNAcentral